UUUUCUUUUAUGUGGAUUUAGUCUUACAAACCUCUCAUACUAAUGUUCAUGUAAAGUACACUUGAGAAUUUGUGAGAGAUAAGGAUGUAAAAUAAAAAAGAUAUUAUGCCUCGUGAUUUGGGUCUGAUUUUGCGCAGGUAGACGUUGAACUUUCAGAAGAAUUACCCUUAAAAGAAGCACAUGAAAUUGGAGAGUGUUACCAAAAGCUAGCUUUCAAUAAUGUUAUUUAGCUAAAAAUACAUUACCGGAAGCAUACUUCUAUUUGACAUUCUAUGGGCAAAUUG
RNAcentral lists this long non-coding RNA (284 nucleotides) under Cicer arietinum (chickpea). RNAcentral's name for it is "long non-coding RNA (CARI_LNC002231)". Lineage: Eukaryota; Viridiplantae; Streptophyta; Magnoliopsida; Fabales; Fabaceae. The record is from RNAcentral.